CACAAAGGGUCCUGGCUCCCUUCUCCCCACUCUGUGCCCGUUUCCUGAAUUAUCAGCCUCUGUUUGUGAUUCUCCUCCAAAGAAGAAUUCCUCCGCUACCAUGGCACCGACUCCUGUUUCAACCCAAAUGGCCUGGGGAAGUCUGUUCUAGUCCUCCACCUCUCUCAAAGGAUUCUUCUGGACCCCCAAGAUCAGUGCUCCUUGUUCUUGGAAACCUGCAGCAUCUUACCUUUUAUAACUGGUAUGCCCAAGUUGGAUGGGUCUAGGAGGAAAGGUACUUUCCACUACUGAUCGAGCUUCUCCCCGAGUCCCCACCUCAUAAGAGAAAAAGCGAUAUAGGACAGCUAAAACAGAUUUCCAGUUCGGAAGUGAAAGGUUAUAAGAUGCGGCCAGAUGGGCUAGGAUAGCAGUUGAAAGAGUCAAAGAGGCAUCAACGAGAGGUCAGACGUUGCAGAGUGAGAAACUUCCCAUAGAAGCAAAUGGAAAUAAAAAUUAUGCCGUGGCAUGAUUGGAACGGGGCAUAAUAAACCUUGACAUUCCC
This 541-nucleotide long non-coding RNA is filed under the name Equus caballus (horse). RNAcentral describes it as "lncRNA (ENSECAG00000047689.1)". Lineage: Eukaryota; Metazoa; Chordata; Mammalia; Perissodactyla; Equidae. The record is from RNAcentral.